GUCGACGGAGCACCCCUGACUGAGGUUUCGGCCAAAUGAUGGGAAUGCUUAGUGGCGGACUGGUGAGUAACGCGUGAGGAACCUGCCUUCCAGAGGGGGACAACAGUUGGAAACGACUGCUAAUACCGCAUGACGCAUGACCGGGGCAUCCCGGACAUGCCAAAGAUUUUAUCGCUGGAAGAUGGCCUCGCGUCUGAUUAGCUGGUUGGCGGGGUAACGGCCCACCAAGGCGACGAUCAGUAGCCGGACUGAGAGGUUGACCGGCCACAUUGGGACUGAGAUACGGCCCAGACUCCUACGGGAGGCAGCAGUGGGGAAUAUUGGGCAAUGGACGCAAGUCUGACCCAGCAACGCCGCGUGAAGGAAGAAGGCUUUCGGGUUGUAAACUUCUUUUGUCAGGGAACAGUAGAAGAGGGUACCUGACGAAUAAGCCACGGCUAACUACGUGCCAGCAGCCGCGGUAAUACGUAGGUGGCAAGCGUUGUCCGGAUUUACUGGGUGUAAAGGGCGUGCAGCCGGGCUGAUAAGUCAGAUGUGAAAUCUGGAGGCUCAACCUCCAAACUGCAUUUGAAACUGUCGGUCUUGAGUAUCGGAGA
RNAcentral lists this ribosomal RNA (596 nucleotides) under uncultured bacterium. Its description in RNAcentral is "bacterial SSU rRNA". It matches the Rfam family "Bacterial small subunit ribosomal RNA", at positions 61 to 655 of the family's 1533-position model. The record is from RNAcentral.